RNAcentral lists this ribosomal RNA (253 nucleotides) under uncultured bacterium. RNAcentral's name for it is "partial 16S ribosomal RNA". It matches the Rfam family "Bacterial small subunit ribosomal RNA", at positions 524 to 776 of the family's 1533-position model. The record is from RNAcentral.
UACGGAGGGUGCAAGCGUUAUCCGGAUUCACUGGGUUUAAAGGGUGCGUAGGCGGUCAGGUAAGUCAGUGGUGAAAUCUCCGGGCUUAACCCGGAAACUGCCGUUGAUACUAUCUGUCUUGAAUAUCGUGGAGGUAAGCGGAAUAUGUCAUGUAGCGGUGAAAUGCUUAGAUAUGACAUAGAACACCCAUUGCGAAGGCAGCUUACUACACGAUCAUUGACGCUGAGGCACGAAAGCGUGGGGAUCAAACAGG